CCUACGGGGGGCAGCAGUGAGGAAUAUUGGUCAAUGGGCUUACGCCUGAACCAGCCAAGUCGCGUGAGGGAAGACUGCCCUAUGGGUUGUAAACCUCUUUUGUCAGGGAGCAAUUGGCGCUACGCGUAGCGUUAUCGAGAGUACCUGCAGAAAAAGCAUCGGCUAACUCCGUGCCAGCAGCCGCGGUAAUACGGAGGAUGCGAGCGUUAUCCGGAUUUAUUGGGUUUAAAGGGUGCGUAGGCGGAUUGUUAAGUCAGCGGUAAAAUGGCGGGGCUCAACCCCGGCCGGCCGUUGAAACUGGCGAU
Molecule: ribosomal RNA, 305 nt
Filed under: uncultured bacterium
Lineage: Bacteria
Description: bacterial SSU rRNA
Rfam family: Bacterial small subunit ribosomal RNA
Source: RNAcentral